This 2927-nucleotide ribosomal RNA is filed under the name Cronobacter sakazakii. RNAcentral's name for it is "23S ribosomal RNA". It matches the Rfam family "Bacterial large subunit ribosomal RNA". The record is from RNAcentral. Lineage: Bacteria; Pseudomonadati; Pseudomonadota; Gammaproteobacteria; Enterobacterales; Enterobacteriaceae.
GGGUUGUGAGGUUAAGCGAACAAGCGUACACGGUGGAUGCCCUGGCAGUCAGAGGCGAUGAAGGACGUGCUAAUCUGCGAAAAGCGCCGGUAAGGUGAUAUGAACCGUUAUAACCGGCGAUGUCCGAAUGGGGAAACCCGGUGCACUUCGGUGCAUCAUCGUUAGCUGAAUACAUAGGCUAACGAGGCGAACCGGGGGAACUGAAACAUCUAAGUACCCCGAGGAAAAGAAAUCAACCGAGAUUCCCCCAGUAGCGGCGAGCGAACGGGGAACAGCCCAGAGCCUGAAUCAGCUUGUGUGUCAGUGGAACGGUCUGGAAAGGCCGGCGAUACAGGGUGACAGCCCCGUACACGAAGGCACACAGGCUGUGAGCUCGAUGAGUAGGGCGGGACACGUGAUAUCCUGUCUGAAGAUGGGGGGACCAUCCUCCAAGGCUAAAUACUCCUGACUGACCGAUAGUGAACCAGUACCGUGAGGGAAAGGCGAAAAGAACCCCGGCGAGGGGAGUGAAACAGAACCUGAAACCGUGUACGUACAAGCAGUGGGAGCCUUCGUAAGAGGGUGACUGCGUACCUUUUGUAUAAUGGGUCAGCGACUUAUAUUCUGUAGCAAGGUUAACCGUAUAGGGGAGCCGAAGGGAAACCGAGUCUUAAUUGGGCGUUAAGUUGCAGGGUAUAGACCCGAAACCCGGUGAUCUAGCCAUGGGCAGGUUGAAGGUUGGGUAACACUAACUGGAGGACCGAACCGACUAAUGUUGAAAAAUUAGCGGAUGACCUGUGGCUGGGGGUGAAAGGCCAAUCAAACCGGGAGAUAGCUGGUUCUCCCCGAAAGCUAUUUAGGUAGCGCCUCGUGAACUCAUCUCCGGGGGUAGAGCACUGUUUCGGCUAGGGGGCCAUCCCGGCUUACCAACCCGAUGCAAACUGCGAAUACCGGAGAAUGUUAUCACGGGAGACACACGGCGGGUGCUAACGUCCGUCGUGAAGAGGGAAACAACCCAGACCGCCAGCUAAGGUCCCAAAGUCAUGGUUAAGUGGGAAACGAUGUGGGAAGGCCCAGACAGCCAGGAUGUUGGCUUAGAAGCAGCCAUCAUUUAAAGAAAGCGUAAUAGCUCACUGGUCGAGUCGGCCUGCGCGGAAGAUGUAACGGGGCUAAACCAUGCACCGAAGCUGCGGCAGCGACACUAUGUGUUGUUGGGUAGGGGAGCGUUCUGUAAGCCUGUGAAGGUGUGCUGUGAGGCAUGCUGGAGGUAUCAGAAGUGCGAAUGCUGACAUAAGUAACGAUAAAGCGGGUGAAAAGCCCGCUCGCCGGAAGACCAAGGGUUCCUGUCCAACGUUAAUCGGGGCAGGGUGAGUCGACCCCUAAGGCGAGGCCGAAAGGCGUAGUCGAUGGGAAACAGGUUAAUAUUCCUGUACUUGGUGUUACUGCGAAGGGGGGACGGAGAAGGCUAUGUCGGCCGGGCGACGGUUGUCCCGGUUUAAGCGUGUAGGCUGACUUUCCAGGCAAAUCCGGAAAGUUAAGGCUGAGGCGUGAUGACGAGGCACCACGGUGCUGAAGUGACAAAUGCCCUGCUUCCAGGAAAAGCCUCUAAGCAUCAGGUAACAUCAAAUCGUACCCCAAACCGACACAGGUGGUCAGGUAGAGAAUACCAAGGCGCUUGAGAGAACUCGGGUGAAGGAACUAGGCAAAAUGGUGCCGUAACUUCGGGAGAAGGCACGCUGACAUGUAGGUGAAGCCCCUGCGGGUGGAGCUGAAGUCAGUCGAAGAUACCAGCUGGCUGCAACUGUUUAUUAAAAACACAGCACUGUGCAAACACGAAAGUGGACGUAUACGGUGUGACGCCUGCCCGGUGCCGGAAGGUUAAUUGAUGGGGUUAUCGCAAGAGAAGCUCCUGAUCGAAGCCCCGGUAAACGGCGGCCGUAACUAUAACGGUCCUAAGGUAGCGAAAUUCCUUGUCGGGUAAGUUCCGACCUGCACGAAUGGCGUAAUGAUGGCCAGGCUGUCUCCACCCGAGACUCAGUGAAAUUGAACUCGCUGUGAAGAUGCAGUGUACCCGCGGCAAGACGGAAAGACCCCGUGAACCUUUACUACAGCUUGACACUGAACAUUGAGCCUUGAUGUGUAGGAUAGGUGGGAGGCUUUGAAGCGUGGACGCCAGUCUGCGUGGAGCCGACCUUGAAAUACCACCCUUUAAUGUUUGAUGUUCUAACCUGGCGCCGUGAUCCGGCGUGGGGACAGUGUCUGGUGGGUAGUUUGACUGGGGCGGUCUCCUCCCAAAGUGUAACGGAGGAGCACGAAGGUCAGCUAAUCCUGGUCGGACAUCAGGAGGUUAGUGCAAUGGCAUAAGCUGGCUUGACUGCGAGAGUGACGGCUCGAGCAGGUGCGAAAGCAGGUCAUAGUGAUCCGGUGGUUCUGUAUGGAAGGGCCAUCGCUCAACGGAUAAAAGGUACUCCGGGGAUAACAGGCUGAUACCGCCCAAGAGUUCAUAUCGACGGCGGUGUUUGGCACCUCGAUGUCGGCUCAUCACAUCCUGGGGCUGAAGUAGGUCCCGAGGGUAUGGCUGUUCGCCAUUUAAAGUGGUACGCGAGCUGGGUUUAGAACGUCGUGAGACAGUUCGGUCCCUAUCUGCCGUGGGCGCUGGAGAAUUGAGGGGGGCUGCUCCCAGUACGAGAGGACCGGAGUGGACGCAUCACUGGUGUUCGGGUUGUCAUGCCAAUGGCACUGCCCGGUAGCUAAAUGCGGAAGAGAUAAGUGCUGAAAGCAUCUAAGCACGAAACUUGCCCCGAGAUGAGUUCUCCCUGAGACUGUAAGUCUCCUGAAGGAACGUUGAAGACGACGACGUUGAUAGGCCGGGUGUGUAAGCGCAGCGAUGCGUUGAGCUAACCGGUACUAAUGAACCGUGAGGCUUAACCUUACAACGCCAAAGAAGU